This 253-nucleotide ribosomal RNA is filed under the name uncultured bacterium. RNAcentral's name for it is "partial 16S ribosomal RNA". It matches the Rfam family "Bacterial small subunit ribosomal RNA", at positions 524 to 776 of the family's 1533-position model. The record is from RNAcentral.
UACGUAGGGGGCAAGCGUUGUCCGGAUUUAUUGGGCGUAAAGCGCGUGUAGGCGGCCAGGUAGGUCCGUUGUGAAAACUCGAGGCUCAACCUCGAGACGCCGGCGGAAACCAUCUGGCUAGAGUCCGGAAGAGGAGAGUGGAAUUCCCGGUGUAGCGGUGAAAUGCGCAGAUAUCGGGAAGAACACCCGUGGCGAAGGCGGCUCUCUGGGACGGUACUGACGCUGAGACGCGAAAGCGUGGGGAGCGAACAGG